Long non-coding RNA from Pelmatolapia mariae (spotted tilapia), 212 nucleotides. RefSeq lists it as uncharacterized. The transcript has 3 exons. The record is from RefSeq and is a predicted model, not a curated record. NCBI's taxonomy places the organism in Eukaryota, Metazoa, Chordata, Actinopteri, Cichliformes, Cichlidae.
GUAACUGCAGUUUGUGACCAACAUGGAAAGUAGAGGGCGUAGCGCACAACUUUGUGAAGAGCUGGAAUCAAGACUAGGGGCUGUGGAAAGAUGGGGACCCGGUCUGACAACUGGAAACGCUCUGAUCAAGCAGCAGAAUCAAACAAGACUCAAAUGUCCCCAUUUUCCAGUCUGGCCACCAAAAUCACAGUGACCUGGACUCUAUAUUUACG